GGUGGCGUGUCCGAGCGGCCGAAGGAGCGCGCCUCGAAAGCGCGUGAGGGUCUUCCCUCCGCGGGUUCGAAUCCCGCCGCCACCG
RNAcentral lists this transfer RNA (85 nucleotides) under Natronosporangium hydrolyticum. RNAcentral describes it as "Micromonosporaceae bacterium DSM 106523 tRNA-Ser". It matches the Rfam family "tRNA". Rfam says of the family: Transfer RNA (tRNA) molecules are approximately 80 nucleotides in length. The record is from RNAcentral. Lineage: Bacteria; Bacillati; Actinomycetota; Actinomycetes; Micromonosporales; Micromonosporaceae.